AACGAACGCUGGCGGCAUGCCUAACACAUGCAAGUCGAACGAGACCUUCGGGUCUAGUGGCGCACGGGUGCGUAACGCGUGGGAACCUGCCCUUAGGUUCGGAAUAACUCCCCGAAAGGGGUGCUAAUACCGGAUAAUGUCUUCGGACCAAAGAUUUAUCGCGUUUGGAUGGGCCCGCGUUGGAUUAGCUAGUUGGUAGGGUAAAAGCCUACCAAGGCGACGAUCCAUAGCUGGUCUGAGAGGAUGAUCAGCCACACUGGGACUGAGACACGGCCCAGACUCCUACGGGAGGCAGCAGUGGGGAAUAUUGGACAAUGGGCGAAAGCCUGAUCCAGCAAUGCCGCGUGAGUGAUGAAGGCCUUAGGGUUGUAAAGCUCUUUUACCCGGGAUGAUAAUGACAGUACCGGGAGAAUAAGCUCCGGCUAACUCCGUG
This 433-nucleotide ribosomal RNA is filed under the name uncultured bacterium. Its description in RNAcentral is "partial 16S ribosomal RNA". It matches the Rfam family "Bacterial small subunit ribosomal RNA", at positions 29 to 507 of the family's 1533-position model. The record is from RNAcentral.